Molecule: long non-coding RNA, 781 nt
Organism: Photinus pyralis (common eastern firefly)
Lineage: Eukaryota; Metazoa; Arthropoda; Insecta; Coleoptera; Lampyridae
Exons: 2
Source: RefSeq, a predicted model, not a curated record
CCCAAUUUAACCUACACUAUAUCUUUCACGAUUCCGGAGAUCCCAAUGGUGAGCCACGAAUUUGAAUCACCCUGUACACUAUGGCGAGCGAGACGAAGGCGAGAUCGACCUAAUCCAAUCGCUCGCCCGAAAUUCUGGAGCGUGUUGUAGGGUUCCGGUCACAAAACACAGAGUUCAUACCAAUGCCGGGUGAACCGAAGGCGAGAUUGGCAUAUAUCAACCGCAUGCCCGAAAUUAUAGAGCGUUAAACGGUUUCGGUCACAAAACACAGAAAUCAUACAAAAGGCGAGUUCGGCAUAGCUCGGGGUUUCCUGUAGACUCGCCCCUCUACGUCCACGGUGGCCAACGAUGCGAUGUUAGAAGAUGCAUAUAAGAAGUCAAAAAAGUCUGCUCCUGGGCCUGAUAUGAUCAAUUAUGAAAUGAUAGACCACCUCCCGUACAAAUUAGAGAAAACACUGGUAAAAUUACAAUUUGUCCACGGAUUGAAUGCAGAUAAGGUGUAUAUGAAAAUUUUUUUAGAGUUUUAGAGAGGGUCUUCAUGUUAUGAGGAUCGUUUCUGUAUAUUAAUUGACUUGGCUCAUUUUUUAAUAUCUUAGCACGAGCGCUCCUCAAACAUGAAGAUCCGUGGACAUACUGUAUAUGCCAUCUUGAAUGAAAAAAAAAUCUUCUCACGUUUCACGACUACCUAUUUCUUUACACAGAUGGAUAAAAAACCGAUGUUUGGUUCAGGAUGUAGUUUGUUUGUGGAAGGAAAUAAAUAUAUGAGUGGUCGAUCCUCCAA